AGCAAACUGUAUGACAUUUAAUUUGGGACGAAGGUAGUAUACUUGUUUUUAUCUAGAAGGGCUAAUGAUUCACUAAUUUGGUUGGUAACGGAGUCACCGGCAUUAGCAGCAUAACAGGAAAUCCUAAUUCGCGUGAACACUUCAUGGUCGUAUCACGACCAAUCCGAGGCUAGUGUUUAAGGAUGUGGGAAGAAGGAAGUGAGGGAUUAGAUUUAGAAGGAUGAUUUGGGAGACGGCGAACCAACGUAUAUGAGCAGACAACACUGUCAUAGCCCAUAGCCAUGGGGUUGGUUGUGGGUGGUGGGACAAUGUUUGGUGGCAGGGGCAAAAACAAGGCAAAGGCGGGGGGAGGCCGGCCAAAUAGGGCCGCGUGACAUGUUGAUGCCUUUCGGCGCCGGGGAGGACGCACGGUGGCAAUGGUAAGGGGGGAGAGGGUGUGGGUGUGGAGAAAAGAGUUGGCUUGGUUGCCAGAUCAGUCUGGUUAGAGGGAGUAGGAGGGGCUCACUAGAGGGAGGUAUUCGCUGUCUUCGUUGCUAGAGGGAGGACACUCGCCUGCCCCUUCUCUUCUCCAUCGGAGGAAGCUUGCCAGAGUGAGGAUGAGGGAGUUUGCCGGAAGGAGGUGGAGAAAGCUUGUUGGAAAAGACGGUCACUGCUGUCGUCGCUAGAGGGAGGCCACUUGCCCGCGACUUCUCUUCUUGCUAUGUUGCAUGCGCUGAUAGGUGGUGCCUCUCGUGUGCAAUGGAGCAUUGGAGAGAAAGAAAAUAAGGUGGAAAGAGAAAGGAGAAGAGCGAGCCACGCGAAUGCUCGCCCAUAAGAGCCCCCCCCCCUCAGCGCCCCCCAAACACCAACAUAACUCAACUUUUCUUGAAUGAUAGUUUUAGUGGUAUUUUUGCAGUUUUCUAGUGGCAGUCUUGCAAUAACGAUUCAAAGCAGUGGCAAAUUUGUAAUUACCCCUAAAUUUAUCUUAAUGUUAAAAUUUCAAGCAUUGAUAAACUUGGAAAAUACUUAACUUCAAGAAAAAGACAUGCAUAGUUUUGCCUUGGAAAUUACUUCCAUAACCAACAAAAUUUAUUUUGCAGAUUUAUUCUAAUAAAAAAGGCGCAUUUGCAAAUUUGCCACUGUUUUUUUCAAUUUUGCAAGGAUACCACUCGAAUGAUAGUUCUAGUGGUAUUUUUGCAAUUUUCUAGUGGCAGUCUUACAAUAACGAUUCAAAGCAGUGGUAAAUUUGCAAUUGCCCCAAUAAAAAAUGUGGUAAAGUGGCACCAAAAAUAAAAAAAAAGUCAAACAACGUGUAGUUAUAGCCAGAGGAAGUUACUUAGCAAAUUAGCAAAGCAAUAAAUCAGCUGGUGUGGGUUUAACGUUACCUACACAAAUUCACGGGGAUUGCCAUUUAGUACAACUACGUUCCAAGCACAUAAGUACAUUUCUGAAAACUUUUGUAAAAAUACUUUCCUGCGAAAAACUUUCAUCUAAAUUAAUAAAUGUGCACAUGGAAAACUCAGGUUAUAUAUUCCGUACAUCCACCAUCGUGAGAGACUAGAUGGGAUCGUGUGGAGGAUAAUACCGAGUGUUAUUAUUUAGGUAUGGUCAUUUAAGGGACUGUUUAUCUAAUGUUCGAUAGAAAAUCUGUCUAAAAAUCUAUUAAAUUUAAUUAUAAUAUAUAAGUGAUGUGUAGUUAUAAUAUACUUAGGCUAUACGUCACAUGUGCCUAUACAAAACCCUCACCCACUCAGUGGGAGAGGGAUGCACACGUGACUCUUAUGUCGGGGAUUGAAUUUGUGCAGGAACGUGAUAUUUUUCCUUGCACGAAUCUCAACUUACCUCCAACGGGUUAGCACGAAUUUUGAGGCACAUCUAAUUGUUAGAAAUCUACCAAAUAUAGCUAAAAAAUUUGUCGGGUAGGAGAAAACUGUAGACUAUCUAAAUAGGAGGGGUUGUUCGUGUUGUACUUAAAAUAAACCUUACUAAAUUUUGUCAAUGCUAAAAUUUUUGGUAAGUUGACGAUAUUACUAAAAUUUUGGCAGGAUUCUUUUAUAUAUUUACCAAAGUUUGAUAAGAAAUUAAAUGUAUGCACAUCUUUAACAACUUUAUAAAAAAAUAGUAUAGUUUGAAAUAGCAUCAAUCUGAAUAGCCUCGAGAAAAACAAAUUUUCUAGGAUUUGCUGGGCUUACUCAGGCCGGACUUGGGCCGUGUUAGUCAGCUGCUGUUCACAAUAUCUAACACGGACUAGCGAAGUACCUUACGUACACGGUACACGCGGGCCGCGGCCACGCGCAUCGCUGGCUAUGGAGUCCCUCUCCCGUACCAACGCCACGCCAUGGAAAAUAAGCGCGCGAUUGGCAACGAAUUGGUCCCGCCGGACGGAGCUCCGCUGCAAAUCUGAUGACUGUUCAAGCCUCCCAACUCAAUUAGCCCCUCCAGUUCCUGGGCUCGUGGCACGCCAAAAUAUCGUGUAGGAAGACGCAAGCAGAGGAGAACAGCAGGGGAAGGCGUAAAGAGGAAAAGGAGACCACGGAAGAGGAAAAUACCAAAAGAAGACGAAGGCCCAAGAUAUCAGCUAUUAUUCAGGUCAGGACUCGAGGAAAAGGAUCGUGUUUAACGGCCAUCUAGAUGGGCACGCUUGUGGACGUGUUAGUUCGUC
Molecule: long non-coding RNA, 2641 nt
Filed under: Oryza sativa (Asian cultivated rice)
Lineage: Eukaryota; Viridiplantae; Streptophyta; Magnoliopsida; Poales; Poaceae
Description: long non-coding RNA (OSAT_LNC001245)
Source: RNAcentral